Molecule: ribosomal RNA, 468 nt
Filed under: uncultured bacterium
Lineage: Bacteria
Description: partial 16S ribosomal RNA
Rfam family: Bacterial small subunit ribosomal RNA
Source: RNAcentral
GACGAACGCUGGCGGCGUGCUUAACACAUGCAAGUCGAACGGAAAGGCCCUGCUUUUGUGGGGUGCUCGAGUGGCGAACGGGUGAGUAACACGUGAGUAACCUGCCCUUGACUUUGGGAUAACUUCAGGAAACUGGGGCUAAUACCGGAUAGGAGCUCCUGCUGCAUGGUGGGGGUUGGAAAGUUUCGGCGGUUGGGGAUGGACUCGCGGCUUAUCAGCUUGUUGGUGGGGUAGUGGCUUACCAAGGCUUUGACGGGUAGCCGGCCUGAGAGGGUGACCGGCCACAUUGGGACUGUGAUACGGCCCAGACUCCUGCGGGCGGCAGCGGUGGGGAAUAUUGCACGAUGGGCGGAAGCCUGAUGCAGCAACGCCGCGUGCGGGAUGACGGCCUUCGGGUUGUAAACCGCUUUCGCCUGUGACGAAGCGUGAGUGACGGUAAUGGGUAAAGAAGCACCGGCUAACUACGUG